This 2333-nucleotide unclassified non-coding RNA is filed under the name Patiria miniata (bat star). RNAcentral's name for it is "high mobility group protein 1 homolog, transcript variant X1". Lineage: Eukaryota; Metazoa; Echinodermata; Asteroidea; Valvatida; Asterinidae. The record is from RNAcentral.
UCGAGUUUUCAUUGGACGAAUCUUCGCUCCAACUUCGAAGUGACCAAUCAGAGUGCAGCAUUCCCUACCUUGGGCUUGCGCGGCCCUUUGCAUAAGUAGCGUGGGCAUAGGGAAUUUGUACAGGCUGUCUAUCUAGCGUCGUGCAUUGGGUGCAUACAUAGGUUUACCAUACAUAUCACGCACUGUGUAUUACAUCCGUACUGCACUGCGAUAGCGUCUCUACACUGAUUCACUAAAAAAGAUCCUUCGCCCAGCGUAAACAACAUCUGAGAGAUUUCCAAGAUGGGAAGAAAAGAUCCCAACAAGCCCAAGGGGCGUAUGUCGUCUUAUGCGUUCUUUGUCCAGUUCUGUCGAGAGGAGCACAAAGAGCGCAACCCGGGCCAGUCCGUCAACUUCACCCAGUUCUCCAAGAAGUGCUCAGAGAGAUGGAAGACCAUGGAUGAUGGCGAGAAGAAGAGGUUCCUUGAGUGUGCAGACUGCGACAAGAUGCGUUAUGAACGGGAGAUGGCCCGCUACGUGCCACCCAAGGGCACCAAGAAGAGGGGACGCAGAAAGAGAAAGGACCCCAACGCGCCCAAACGCAACCUGUCAGCUUUCUUCCUGUUCAGCAACGAUGAGCGAUCCAAAGUGAAGGCUGUCCACCCUGACUGGGGCAUCGGUAAGAUUGCCCAGGUGUUGGCAGAGCAGUGGAGAAAUGUGUCGGCAUCCCAGCGGGCCAAGUAUGACAAGGCUGCUGUACAAGACAAGGAGCGAUAUGUCAAGGCGAUGGCAGAGUACAAAGCCAAGCCAGUAAAGAAGAAGAGCUCCUCCAGUUCCUCCUCCUCUUCCUCCUCCAGCUCCAGCUCAAGUAGCUCCAGCUCCAGCGACGAGGAGUAAACCUCAGCACCACCCUAACAAACCACCGAUUCUCCGGACUAUCAUGUCUGAUCAGAACAAACAGCCUUCAAUUUGAUUCAGGACCUCAUUUAAGUUCAUUUCAAUCAUCAGUCACAUGCAACAUGAGUCAUUAGCCUUCUUAAGAUAUGGCAGGUACAAGAGGAGGGGAGGGUGCUAGUUACAGGGGUAAGAUUGGAUAAACAAGGGUGAAACUUGUCAGGAUUUUUUCUGAACUCAGGAUUUUUCCUGAUUUCAGGAUUUUUAAAGCAUCCCUUUUGAAAUCUGGAAUCCCUGAGGUUUUACCGUAAAGGUGUUUUUACCUAUGAAAGUUUAAAUAGAACAAAAGAAAUGGGUAUUGUAAGGGGUGCCUUCAGGCAACAAAAAAAAACACUGGGGCCUUCAGCAACCCUCAAACCCCUUGCUGAUUAUUUCGUGCAUUUUCGUUUUCCCCUAAAUCUCAACUCCUGGUAAUAACAAAAGAGUUUGCCCACUCUACAUAUAUGUAGUGCCCUUCUAUUGGGUCCACAGUAUCUCAAAAAGGCUAAUUCAAAAACAAGGCAUACUGGCACUGGGUCGUGCUGUUUUCAUAUUUUUGUUCAAACACCAGUGAGCAUAAACUUAUUAUGUAGCAGUAGCACUCAACGUGACAAUUUCAGUUGCAUGUCAACAUGAACCACUGGAAAGUGGAAAAAAAAUUAAAGUGAUUUUGGGGUUAUCAAAAAGAAAACAAAAUUGGCAUGCCUGGAUAGGUAGGUGCAGUGGAUGGGUGUCACUCACAUAUUUUUAUGUGGUUUGGACUUGUUUUCUACCUCAUAAAUAAAUUCUGCUUUACGAAUUCGAUCCAAAAAUGAGUUGUGGCAAACAAGAAGGUGAAACCAAAAUGCCAAGAGCACAGUGAUACAUGUACCAAGAUGGAAGAUACUUUGAAACUGAAGUCCUGUAAAUUGUAAAGAAUCCUCUGAAAUGUUGACAAUCUUGUAGCAGUUGAUGAACCCUGGUACAGCAAUAUGCCUACAAAAAAAAUUGUGGUAAAAAGUAAAUGUCAGAAAUAUUUUUGCGUAAUCUCCUGCAGCAUUUAUAAUCUAGACAUAAAUUCAGGCUUAUGGGCCGGUUCACACAUUCAUUCAAAUGUGAAGUGAUUUUUGUUGACGUCACAAAAUAUUCGCUUCGAAAUCCCCCCCCCCCGACUUAAUAUGUGUGGUGAAAAAAAGUGGUGUCAGGAUCUAGUAUUCUUUCAUAAUCCCCGUUCGGACAGUGGUAAUAAAUAGUAAGAUUAAUAACAAAGUUGUUUUCGAAUUCAUGAAUACCUGAGACAGUUUACCCAUUCCUAUUGGUCAAGAGCACGUCACGUGGGUGGUUUUAAAUUGGCGGUAAAACACCGCUGCGUUCUGUGCCACAUCGCGCGUACACACGCCAGGCUAGACGUGGCCAGAGUAGCGCUUCACAAAAUAUGAGAA